RNAcentral lists this long non-coding RNA (1422 nucleotides) under Zonotrichia albicollis (white-throated sparrow). RNAcentral's name for it is "lncRNA (ENSZALG00000003149.1)". The record is from RNAcentral. Lineage: Eukaryota; Metazoa; Chordata; Aves; Passeriformes; Passerellidae.
AUGGUAUCCAUGCCACGAUUCCAGGGAAUUUGGGCAGCUCCCGGAGCGAGGCGUGGGCUCUCCCAGCAUUCCCAUGGAUCCAGUUCCAUCCUAUUUUUAAUUCCCUGGUCCCAAACUCCCCCAGGAGCUGCAGCUGCGGCUGCUCCUUCCCGUGGGAAGGGAGGGGGUGGCUCGGGACAGGGAUGGAUCCAGGAAAUAUUCCAGCCCCCUCCAAGCCUUUUCCCAGCCCUCCAAAUCCCAGGAAAAGCUCUUGGUGCUGCCUUUAGGGCCCUGCUCCCGAUUUUCAGCUGGAUUUUCCUCCCAGGCCGAAUUGCUCGGGAAUAUUUACAAACUUUGGAAAAGCUCAUCCAAGGUUUGCAGCUCCUCUGGGAAGCGGCCCUGGCGUGGGAGGAGCUGCUGCAGGAGAAUCCCAAAUUCCUGUCCCGGAUAAGGCCGGCAGCUGGGGCAGGAUGCAGAUCCAGACAUUCCCUGGGGCUCCCCCUUUUCCUGCCUUUCUGUGGGAACAAUUCCCAUCCCCACAUCCCACCCUUCCCCGCAGCUUUGGAUCACCGGAGCUUUUCCCGGAUCCACGCUGAAUCCGGAGAGCCAAAUCCAUCCCGGAAAAUCCUCUCACAGCUCCUUGUCCCACUUCCCUUUUCCUUCUCCACAUCCAGGGAAUGUCCAGGGACUGACAUUCCCCGGAUCUGUAUCCCAGUUUUGCCUGGAAAAGCCCUGGAAUCGGUGCUGGGCCAGGGGAGGAAGCUGCUCCUGGAAUUUCUUAGGAUUUCAUCGAUCCACGUUGCAGGAGAUAAAAUCCAUAGGGAAAGCUUGGAUCGAACAGAGGAAUUUUUGGGACACAAGACAGAACAUUUUCCAUUUGCUCAUCCAUUCCCUGAAAAUCAACAGAAAAUUCUCCAUCCUGCUGCAGGUGCUAUUCCUGGGGGCUUUUUUUCUGGGAUAAAUCCGUUCCCAUCCCAAAAAAAAAAAUCCCUGGGAAUGAGAGCUCCAAAUUCCCAGCCUGGCUUCCAACGGCACCCCUGGGUAUCAGGGAAUUUGGGGGUCUUUGAUCCCAAUUGUGGAUUUAUAUCCCAAAUUCUGGCCUGCUCAUCGAUCCCUCUGUGGAAUUGCUGGGAACGCACUUUCCCAGGGAUUCUGCCAUGGAUUGGGAAUGGCACCUGGGAAUACCCAACCCCAAAGGCAGCCCUGGUGACAUCCCACAAGUUUUUUCCUAAGGAAAAAAAAAUUGGGAAAGAGGGAUUCUCCCUGUUCUCACUGGGGUCAUUUGGACAUUCCCACAUCCCAAUCCAGGAUCUGGAGAGGGAUCAGCUCCAGUCCUGCUGCCUCCCAUUCCCAGUGCCAUUCCCAAUAUCCCAGCCUUUCCCAGGCUGUGUCACAGCCCAGGGCUUUUAUGGGAUCACCAAUCCCAUUCCCAGAGCCCACUGA